UGGCGGCUCAGAUAUGCCAGUGGCAGGAGUAUAUCCCUACAAAGCCAAAAUUGAAACCGAUGCGAAGGUGGAUGGAGUAUGCACCGAUAGCGGCUCAAAUGCCCAGCUCCAUGUAGCCUGCCGAGGGGCAGGGGUGAAAGCUAGAUAGUGUUUCGAUGCCAUCGUGACCUGCAACGUUAAUGAAUAUUAACAAAUAUAACAUGUUGUUGAACAAUAAUAUUAGUAGAGCAUCAACAAAUAAAUGCU
This 246-nucleotide long non-coding RNA is filed under the name Elaeis guineensis (African oil palm). RNAcentral describes it as "long non-coding RNA (EGUI_LNC041938)". Lineage: Eukaryota; Viridiplantae; Streptophyta; Magnoliopsida; Arecales; Arecaceae. The record is from RNAcentral.